Molecule: ribosomal RNA, 676 nt
Filed under: Salmonella enterica subsp. enterica serovar Typhimurium
Lineage: Bacteria; Pseudomonadati; Pseudomonadota; Gammaproteobacteria; Enterobacterales; Enterobacteriaceae
Description: partial 23S ribosomal RNA
Rfam family: Bacterial large subunit ribosomal RNA
Source: RNAcentral
ACGUUCAACCGCAAAACAAGCAGAGGGGGCUUAGUGGUGGGGUGACUGCGUACCUUUUGUAUAAUGGGUCAGCGACUUAUAUUCUGUAGCAAGGUUAACCGAAUAGGGGAGCCGGAGGGAAACCGAGUCUUAAUUGGGCGUUAAGUUGCAGGGUAUAGACCCGAAACCCGGUGAUCUAGCCAUGGGCAGGUUGAAGGUUGGGUAACACUAACUGGAGGACCGAACCGACUAAUGUUGAAAAAUUAGCGGAUGACCUGUGGCUGGGGGUGAAAGGCCAAUCAAACCGGGAGAUAGCUGGUUCUCCCCGAAAGCUAUUUAGGUAGCGCCUCGUGAAUUCAUCUCCGGGGGUAGAGCACUGUUUCGGCUAGGGGGCCAUCCCGGCUUACCAACCCGAUGCAAACUGCGAAUACCGGAGAAUGUUAUCACGGGAGACACACGGCGGGUGCUAACGUCCGUCGUGAAGAGGGAAACAACCCAGACCGCCAGCUAAGGUCCCAAAGUCAUGGUUAAGUGGGAAACGAUGUGGGAAGGCCCAGACAGCCAGGAUGUUGGCUUAGAAGCAGCCAUCAUUUAAAGAAAGCGUAAUAGCUCACUGGUCGAGUCGGCCUGCGCGGAAGAUGUAACGGGGCUAAACCAUGCACCGAAGCUGCGGCAGCGAACGUAUCACCCAAGACAA